Non-coding RNA from Leptonychotes weddellii (Weddell seal), 1201 nucleotides. The record is from RefSeq and is a predicted model, not a curated record. Lineage: Eukaryota; Metazoa; Chordata; Mammalia; Carnivora; Phocidae.
UGGGUCCUUUCUCAGUGCUGUCGUGUGCGGGAGCGUGUUCCCAACUGCUCCGGCCUGAGGCUGCCCGAGGGUGGCUCCGCAGGUUGCUCUGUCCACCGAUUCAUGAUUUUCUGCCGUUUCUUGGCAAAAAUGGCAACUAAUGGUGCUGUUCUGAAGAGACUGGAACAGAAGGGUGCAGAAGCAGAUCAAAUUAUUGACUAUCUAAAGCAGCAAGUUGCUCUUCUUAAGGAGAAAGCAAUUUUGCAGGCAACUUUGAGAGAAGAGAAGAAACUUCGAGUUGAAAAUGCUAAAUUAAAGAAAGAAAUUGAAGAAUUGAAACAAGAGCUAAUUCAGGCAGAAAUUCAAAAUGGAGUGAAACAAAUACCAUUUCCAUCUGGUACUCUGCUGCAAGCUAAUUCCACAGUUUCUGAAAAUGUGACACAGUCUAGACCAAUAACAACUAUAGCUUCUGGUGCCAAAGAACAGAUAGGAGGAGCAGAAGAAAAGAAGAUGAAAGAGAAAAUUGAAGUGAAAGGAGAGAAAAAGGAGAAAAAACAGCAGUCAGUAGCAGGAAGCGCUGACUCUAAGCCAUUAGAUGUUUCUCGUCUGGAUCUUCGAGUUGGUUGUAUCAUCACUGCCAGAAAACACCCUGAUGCAGAUUCUUUAUAUGUGGAAGAAGUAGAUAUUGGAGAAACAGCCCCAAGAACAGUUGUCAGUGGCCUGGUGAAUCAUGUUCCUCUUGAACAGAUGCAAAAUCGGAUGGUGAUUUUACUUUGUAACCUGAAACCUGCAAAGAUGAGGGGAGUAAUAUCUCAAGCAAUGGUAAUGUGUGCUAGUUCACCUGAGAAGGUUGAAAUCUUGGCACCUCCUAAUGGGUCUGUUCCUGGAGACAGAAUUGUUUUUGAUGCUUUUCCUGCCGACAGCCGGAGCCAGCCAUCAGAGGUUUAACUGGACUGUGUGCAGCUGACAGACCACAGAACGGUUAACCUUCAGGUCACCUGAGCAUUUAGGCUGCUGUUCUGUUUACAGCUCCCAAAAUGUCUUCUUUUCCCAGAGGCUACAUCAUCCUGGCUUUUUGACGUAUUGGAAGGACGGAGUGUUACAAAGAACUUGCUAUAUAGAAAAUAUUGGGAGAUGGACAGAAAAAGCUAAGAUGAAAAAGACGUGAUGCACUCCUUCAAAGAAACUCACCAUCUUAUAGGAAACAUUCAUUCUUUCUUUC